RNAcentral lists this ribosomal RNA (644 nucleotides) under uncultured bacterium. RNAcentral describes it as "bacterial SSU rRNA". It matches the Rfam family "Bacterial small subunit ribosomal RNA", at positions 79 to 719 of the family's 1533-position model. The record is from RNAcentral.
CUUGCUUCUCUUGAGAGCGGCGGACGGGUGAGUAAUGCCUAGGAAUCUGCCUGGUAGUGGGGGAUAACGUUCGGAAACGGACGCUAAUACCGCAUACGUCCUACGGGAGAAAGCAGGGGACCUUCGGGCCUUGCGCUAUCAGAUGAGCCUAGGUCGGAUUAGCUAGUUGGUGGGGUAAUGGCUCACCAAGGCGACGAUCCGUAACUGGUCUGAGAGGAUGAUCAGUCACACUGGAACUGAGACACGGUCCAGACUCCUACGGGAGGCAGCAGUGGGGAAUAUUGGACAAUGGGCGAAAGCCUGAUCCAGCCAUGCCGCGUGUGUGAAGAAGGUCUUCGGAUUGUAAAGCACUUUAAGUUGGGAGGAAGGGUUGUAGAUUAAUACUCUGCAAUUUUGACGUUACCGACAGAAUAAGCACCGGCUAACUCUGUGCCAGCAGCCGCGGUAAUACAGAGGGUGCAAGCGUUAAUCGGAAUUACUGGGCGUAAAGCGCGCGUAGGUGGUUUGUUAAGUUGGAUGUGAAAUCCCCGGGCUCAACCUGGGAACUGCAUUCAAAACUGACUGACUAGAGUAUGGUAGAGGGUGGUGGAAUUUCCUGUGUAGUGGUGAAAUGCGUAGAUAUAGGAAGGAACACCAGUGGCGAA